AUUCUUAACACUGUAGCUUUCCCACUUUGUAGUUUUAGAAUCGAAACCCAUUAUUUGAUAUUACUCGACUUACCAGCGAUGAACUUAUAGAACAAGUAACUUCUUUGAUAAAUGAUUGCAAGUCAGUAUUGUACACACUUUCGAAACAAUCUUCAGGCAUAACAUUGGCUUUAAAAUCAGCUGAGGAAUUCCCACUCAAGUUCGAAUUCUGUCUGAUACAAACAGAUAACUCUACGUUUUUUUAUCAAUUUACUCUUCCUGCUGUACAAACAGUGCAGUAUUUGGAAAUGAGGCAAAAAAAACUCUUGGAACUUUUAGAGAAAAAAGACAAAGAAAUAAAAGAGCAUAUUUUAGAGAAUGGAGAACUAACUAGACAAGUGGUAGUAACAAAAGAAUUUGAUAGAGAGUCUUUUAUGCACGAUUUUCCUCAAGAUCUUUUAGUUAAUGUGUUUGGAAAGUCAAAAAUAUUUCAUGAUCGGUUUUCCGAAAAAUUUGGUGUGUACAAAUAUAGCGCUUCAGCGGAAGAAUGGGCAAAGAAAAAAUUAAAGCCAUAUAUAAAUACAUUGUAAUUACACGAUUAAUAAAUACAUCCCUUCAUA
Photinus pyralis (common eastern firefly) is the source of this 599-nucleotide long non-coding RNA. RefSeq lists it as uncharacterized. Lineage: Eukaryota; Metazoa; Arthropoda; Insecta; Coleoptera; Lampyridae. The record is from RefSeq and is a predicted model, not a curated record. The transcript has 4 exons.